GUGAGGAAUAUUGGUCAAUGGGCGGAAGCCUGAACCAGCCAUGCCGCGUGAAGGACUAAGGCCCUACGGGUCGUAAACUUCUUUAGACGCAGAGCAAUAAGGUCCACGUGUGGACCGAUGAGAGUAUGCGUAGAAUAAGCAUCGGCUAACUCCGUGCCAGCAGCCGCGGUAAUACGGGGGAUGCGAGCGUUAUCCGGAUUCAUUGGGUUUAAAGGGUGCGUAGGCGGCCGAGUAAGUCAGCGGUGAAAGACCGGGGCUCAACCCUGGAAGUGCCGUUGAUACUGUUUGGCUGGAAUGAUCCCGCCGCGGGAGGAAUGAGUGGUGUAGCGGUGAAAUGCAUAGAUAUCACUCAGAACACCGAUUGCGAAGGCAUCUCGCGAGGGGUCAAUUGACGCUGAGGCACGAAAGCGUGGGGAUCGAACAGGAUUAGAAACCCUAGUAGUCC
This 445-nucleotide ribosomal RNA is filed under the name uncultured bacterium. RNAcentral's name for it is "bacterial SSU rRNA". It matches the Rfam family "Bacterial small subunit ribosomal RNA", at positions 354 to 796 of the family's 1533-position model. The record is from RNAcentral.